Molecule: transfer RNA, 74 nt
Filed under: Lacticaseibacillus sharpeae JCM 1186 = DSM 20505
Lineage: Bacteria; Bacillati; Bacillota; Bacilli; Lactobacillales; Lactobacillaceae
Description: Lactobacillus sharpeae JCM 1186 = DSM 20505 tRNA
Rfam family: tRNA
About the family: Transfer RNA (tRNA) molecules are approximately 80 nucleotides in length.
Source: Rfam by way of RNAcentral
GCGAUAGUAGCUCAGUUGGAUAGAGCAAUGGUCUUCUAAACCAUCGGUCGCGGGUUCGAACCCCGCCUGUCGCA